Molecule: ribosomal RNA, 253 nt
Filed under: uncultured bacterium
Lineage: Bacteria
Description: partial 16S ribosomal RNA
Rfam family: Bacterial small subunit ribosomal RNA
Source: RNAcentral
UACGAAGGGGGCGAGCGUUGUUCGGAUUUACUGGGCGUAAAGGGCGCGCAGGCGGCGUAUCAAGUCAGGCGUGAAAUCCCCGGGCUUAACCUGGGAAUGGCCUAUGUGACUGGCAGGCUAGAGGAUGGCAGAGGGAGGCGGAAUUCCACGUGUAGCAGUGAAAUGCGCAGAUAUCGGGAGGAACACCAAUGGCGAAGGCAGCUCGCUGGGACGUGACUGACGCUGAGGCGCGAAAGCGUGGGGAGCAAACAGG